RNAcentral lists this ribosomal RNA (1314 nucleotides) under metagenome. RNAcentral's name for it is "bacterial LSU rRNA". It matches the Rfam family "Bacterial large subunit ribosomal RNA", at positions 1521 to 2853 of the family's 2925-position model. The record is from RNAcentral.
CUGUUGAAAGCUUUUGGUAAAUCCGGAGCUGAGCUGAUCCACGACAGUACUCGGAAGCCGCAAGGCUGAAGAGAUAAUGACCGGUAACUGACUCCCGAGAAAAGCUUCUAGGCUUCAGAUUUAUACAGCCCGUACCGUAAACCGACACAGGUAGUCGAGGAGAGUAUCCUAAGGCGCUCGAGUGAUCCGCGGCUAAGGAACUAGGCAAUUUAGUCUCGUAACUUCGGAAUAAGAGACCCCUGCAAUUAUGUGGGGCGCAGCGAAGAGGUCCAGGCAACUGUUUAACAAAAACACAGGACUCUGCUAAAUCGAAAGAUGAUGUAUAGGGUCUGACACCUGCCCGGUGCUGGAAGGUUAAGGGAGGGGAUUAGGAGCAAUCCAAAGUCUUUGACUGAAGCCCCAGUAAACGGCGGCCGUAACAAUAACGGUCCUAAGGUAGCGAAAUUCCUUGUCGGGUAAGUUCCGACCUGCACGAAUGGUGUAAUGAUCUGGACGCUGUCUCAGCCGCGAGCUCGGUGAAAUUGAAGUAUCGGUGAAGAUACCGGUUACCCGCAACGGGACGGAAAGACCCUGUGAACCUUUACUAUAACUUCACAUGGUGCUUGAAUACGGGAUGUGUAGGAUAGGUGGGAGACUUUGAAGUCUAUACGCUAGUAUAGGUGGAGUCACUGUUGAAAUACCACCCUUUCUGUAUUUAGGUUCUAACUCCGAUCUAAUCGGAGGACAGUGUGUGGCGGGUAGUUUGACUGGGGUGGUCGCCUCCUAAAAAGUAACGGAGGCUUGCAAAGGUGCCCUCAGCAUGGACGGUAAUCAUGCGUAGAGCGUAUUAGUAGAAGGGUGCUUGACUGAGAGGCCGACAGGCCGAACAGGGUGGAAACACGGCUAAAGUGAUCCGGUGGCACUGCAUGGGUGGGCCAUCGCUCAAAGGAUAAAAGGUACUCCGGGGAUAACAGGCUGAUCUCCCCCAAGAGCUCAUAUCGACGGGGAGGUUUGGCACCUCGAUGUCGGCUCAUCGCAUCCUGGGGCUGGAGAAGGUCCCAAGGGUUUGGCUGUUCGCCAAUUAAAGCGGUACGUGAGCUGGGUUCAGAACGUCGCAAGACAGUUCGGUCCCUAUCUGUUGUGGGCGCACGAAUAUUGAAAGGAUAUGACUCUAGUACGAGAGGACCGAGUUGGACGAACCUCUAGUGUACCAGUUGUGGCGCCAGCUGCAUCGCUGGGUAGCUAUGUUCGGUUUGGAUAAGCGCUGAAAGCAUCUAAGCGCGAAACCGGCCUUAAGAUGAGUAUUCGAUGAAGGGCUGUAGUAGAUUACUACGU